This 1204-nucleotide long non-coding RNA is filed under the name Cyanistes caeruleus (blue tit). RNAcentral describes it as "lncRNA (ENSCCEG00000015724.1)". Lineage: Eukaryota; Metazoa; Chordata; Aves; Passeriformes; Paridae. The record is from RNAcentral.
AUAUAUAGGCUGCCAUUAACUUGUAUGAAGACCUGAAUGCAGUGUCAGAGAAGGGCCGAUGUGAAGUGGACUAGCUCAAAUCACAGCUGCAAGAGCCAAAUGCAAAUACUUAAACACUCCUUCCCAGAGGAUGAAGGUUCCUAUUUAUGAAAAUCUUGGAAAUUCAUCUGUCUUCAGGAAGAUGGGGAAAGGCUCUAUGUCUUCCCUCACAGAAUGCUUCAUCAGCUCCAAGCUUCUCAUGACACCUGCUUCAAUUUGUGAGAAAACUGCUAUCAACAUGGACAUGAAAGAUCACUUCCAUUUCUACUGGACAUCUCACAUUACUUACUAGCCCUUUAGAGGCGAGUUAAGGACAAUUUUAGUGUCCUGCUUCUCUGAAGGAAACAUGUGCCUGGGUAUAUUAUCAGAGCAUUGUAAAGGAAGAGCAUUUCUCUGCGAACUCAUGGAAAAACAGUGGGGUUUUUUUUCUUGGCCAGAUUCCCCAAAGAGAAUUGAAUUUCAAGGUAUGACUUUUUCUUUGUUUAUAUAUUUAUUCUAUCAUAUUAGAAUGUAUUGUUGUAAUGGGGUUAAGGGUAUUAUAAAUUUGAAAUUAUUUUUCAAUACAGAUAUUUUGGAUCAAACCUACUACUACAUAAGCAUUCCAAGAACUCAUUGCUGGAAUGUUUCUGGAUGCACUCAGACUAUCUUGUUUUAGUCUCAGCAAAUUCAAUGCAUUUUAUAUUGUUUUAAAUUACAUGUCCAAUGGUCAUUGGGAAAAAAGAUAUUAAACGUGGAUAGAGAAACCUGAUUUUUUUUUUCUUAGUUUCUAUUAUGGCUUGCAGUGUUUGGUUAGAAUGUUUCUAAUGCAAGCAUAAAACAUGUCUGUAUUUAUUCACCUGAUCCUUUCUACGGAAUGUCCAAGUGAGCGGUGGGAACUGACACAGAAAAUGACAUUUUUUCUUACCAGGCCAUCAGGUGGGUAAUGGCAUAUUUUCCUUACCUUUCAAACUUAUAAAAUUCUCAGUUUUCUUAACUACUGGCAGGUCUGAGCUAUUGCCUUCAUUCUGUGCAUCUUCAGACUAACUGGGAAAGAUGACCUUGACCUUCUCUUUGAAAUAUUUCCAGAACUGCCUUGACUGAGAUGUCAAAUCAAGGAACCCUUCUGAGGAAAAUUUUCAAUUGAGUGAGCAAAUUAAAUAGUAUGCAGUGCAUAUUUAUAAGCUGG